Molecule: non-coding RNA, 90 nt
Organism: Streptococcus pyogenes M1 GAS
Lineage: Bacteria; Bacillati; Bacillota; Bacilli; Lactobacillales; Streptococcaceae
Rfam family: Trans-activating crRNA
About the family: RNA-guided Streptococcus pyogenes Cas9 (SpCas9) is a sequence-specific DNA endonuclease, the Trans-activating CRISPR RNA form an hybrid with the crRNA (crRNA/tracrRNA).
Source: Rfam
UGUUGGAACCAUUCAAAACAGCAUAGCAAGUUAAAAUAAGGCUAGUCCGUUAUCAACUUGAAAAAGUGGCACCGAGUCGGUGCUUUUUUU